AGCUUUGCAUAGUGGCAGUAUUGUAGCCAAAGAGGUUUAUCCAAGGCACAAUUAUUGUUAAUUAAAAACUUUUCCCAAUACCCUGCC
This 87-nucleotide small nuclear RNA is filed under the name Salvator merianae (Argentine black and white tegu). Its description in RNAcentral is "U4 spliceosomal RNA (ENSSMRG00000015511.1)". It matches the Rfam family "U4 spliceosomal RNA", at positions 1 to 87 of the family's 138-position model. Rfam says of the family: U4 small nuclear RNA (U4 snRNA) is a component of the major U2-dependent spliceosome. The structure of U4 snRNA from yeast and human has been reported. Lineage: Eukaryota; Metazoa; Chordata; Lepidosauria; Squamata; Teiidae. The record is from RNAcentral.